GUGGUUAUGGAAAUGGAGGCCGUUCUUUUGUGUAGGGGGCGUGUUCUGUCAUGUUUACUAACCGCAGGGACGGAGGGCAGGUAACCAAACAACCAACAUGCCGUGCAGGGAAGGUGACUUUGGGUUGUACCAUCCCAGGACACCGAGUGACGGGGACCGGGACCCUGACGAGCUUGAAGCCUUGGUGGAGACCAUGCGGCGCAGCCUCAAACUCAGAAGUAGUGGUAGCUGCAAGGAACGGGCGCGGGGCCGCCAACCGUACCCGCUCCCCUGCUGCUGCUCCAGGCUAAGCCACGAGGACUUCGCGCGCAGGACGUGCACCAGUAGUACUCAGAGACGUGCUCCCGGCCGGAGUCCACGAGCGGAGGCGGAUCCGCAGCGAGCCUUGCAGGAGCUGCUUCGCAAAGGCAGCCUCAUCCAGGAAGCAGUGAAACGGCUGCGGGCGCGGCGGGUACGGGACGAGUCCCGGUGGGAGCCCUGAGCCCCGGAGUGCCAGCGGCUAUAGCCAGAGGGUUUAUACUUUGGUAAAGAAUAAAGGAAGAAAAAGACAUCGACUGAAAAGUUGGCGACGAUGAACUGGCAUGGGGACAGUGAGAUAGGAAAGGAACAAAGAAUGAACUUGAGGGACUGAAUGGUGUUUUGCUCGAGGAAUGAGCGGGUGCACGCUGACUAAGCAGCUAUGACUUCUGUGCUUCUGCCAGAUGAAGAGGCUUGUGGACACUGUUUCUCAGUUAGCAGUCUCGAGUCCCAUGCCUGGAAACUAUGGUAACAGACCUCAAAUCCUGAAGGGCUGUGUGUAGGCCGCAGGACUGACCUCCAUGUGAGAGCUUCAUCUUGUUUAGUCAAGUGACUAGGAUUUGGCAGGCAAAGGAGGCUGUUGCAAAAUAGAGGCUCUGGUAUUUUAAUCCUGAAUUUGUGAACUGAAAACAGACCCAGCUCUUGUAAAGAUGGGAGAAGAGAGCUUGAGCUUUGACUGGGGUGUUGCUUAUAUCCUGACAUAAGCUUUGUUGUAGCCAGUGUAUGCUAAUGUGAGCUGCAGAGUUCAGAUGUAGCUCUAAGUAAGAAAAUCUUUAUAGAGCAUGAGCAUCCAUUCUAUUGGAUGUUGGAGGGGUGGGUUUAUAUACAUAUCGGAACUCUAAAUGGUUGCGUACACUAAAAUGUUUACUUCAGUAGUGUCUUCCGGAAUCUCUUGGUAAGAAACUGCAGAAGGCAAUAAAUUGGAAUAAAUUUCUGUGACAGUAGAUCAGAUUACUAACAGAACUACUCUCUGUGCUGUGACCUGAAUAUGCUGAGAUGGCUAAAAGUUGAAUCUCUUGGUAAAUUAAAUGCGUUUGGACCUCGGACCAUUAGCUUUUGUUGCACUGCAAAACUGAUAAGUUUUUAAGUGGUAAGAUGUAUGGUGAUUUAACAGAGAAAUAAUUAACUGAUGGGCAGACUGUUGACAUCACCAAAGACAAUUUGUAAUUAUUAUUAUUAUUUUUUUUUUAUUAAAUUUCUUACUGAAAA
Long non-coding RNA from Protopterus annectens (West African lungfish), 1506 nucleotides. RefSeq lists it as uncharacterized. The transcript is spliced from 2 exons. NCBI's taxonomy places the organism in Eukaryota, Metazoa, Chordata, Ceratodontiformes, Protopteridae. The record is from RefSeq and is a predicted model, not a curated record.